GAUAUGAGUAGAGCGGCGGACGGGUGAGUAACGCGUAGGAAUCUACCUAGUAGAAGGGGAUAGCCCGAGGAAACUCGGAUUAAUACCGUAUACCUCCUUAGGGAGAAAGAGGGCCUCUCUUGAUGCUCUCGCUAUUAGAUGAGCCUGCGUAAGAUUAGCUUGUUGGUGAGGUAAUGGCUCACCAAGGCUACGAUCUUUAGCUGGUCUGAGAGGACGAUCAGCCACAUUGGGACUGAGACACGGCCCAGACUCCUACGGGAGGCAGCAGUGGGGAAUAUUGGACAAUGGGCGCAAGCCUGAUCCAGCCAUACCGCGUGUGUGAAGAAGGCCUUCGGGUCGUAAAGCACUUUAAGCAGGGAGAAAAAGUUAUAAGUUAAUACCUUAUAACCGUGAUGUUACCUGCAGAAUAAGCACCGGCUAAUUCCGUGCCAGCAGCCGCGGUAAUACGGAAGGUGCAAGCGUUAAUCGGAAUUACUGGGCGUAAAGCGCGCGUAGGUGGUUUGUUAAGUUGGAUGUGAAAGCCCUGGGCUCAACCUAGGAACUGCAUCCAAGACUAACUCACUAGAGUACGAUAGAGGGAGGUAGAAUUCAUAGUGUAGCGGUGGAAUGCGUAGAUAUUAUGAAGAAUACCGGUGGCGAAGGCGGCCUCCUGGAUCUGUACUGACACUGAGGUGCGAAAGCGUGGGUAGC
This 690-nucleotide ribosomal RNA is filed under the name uncultured Gammaproteobacteria bacterium. RNAcentral describes it as "bacterial SSU rRNA". It matches the Rfam family "Bacterial small subunit ribosomal RNA", at positions 83 to 769 of the family's 1533-position model. The record is from RNAcentral. Lineage: Bacteria; Pseudomonadati; Pseudomonadota; Gammaproteobacteria.